UACGUAGGGGGCUAGCGUUAUCCGGAAUCAUUGGGCGUAAAGCGCGUGUAGGCGGUCCGGUAAGUCCGCUGUGAAAGUCGAGGGCUCAACCCUCGAAUGCCGGUGGAUACUGUCGGGCUUGAGUACGGGAGAGGCGAGUGGAAUUCCUGGUGUAGCGGUGAAAUGCGCAGAUAUCAGGAGGAACACCGAUUGCGAAGGCAGCUCGCUGGAACGUUACUGACGCUGAGACGCGAAAGCGUGGGGAGCAAACAGG
RNAcentral lists this ribosomal RNA (253 nucleotides) under uncultured bacterium. RNAcentral describes it as "partial 16S ribosomal RNA". It matches the Rfam family "Bacterial small subunit ribosomal RNA", at positions 524 to 776 of the family's 1533-position model. The record is from RNAcentral.